ACGGAGGGGGCUAGCGUUGUUCGGAAUUACUGGGCGUAAAGCGCACGUAGGCGGACUGGAAAGUUGGGGGUGAAAUCCCGGGGCUCAACCUCGGAACUGCCUUCAAAACUAUCAGUCUGGAGUUCGAGAGAGGUGAGUGGAAUUCCGAGUGUAGAGGUGAAAUUCGUAGAUAUUCGGAGGAACACCAGUGGCGAAGGCGGCUCACUGGCUCGAUACUGACGCUGAGGUGCGAAAGCGUGGGGAGCAAACAG
RNAcentral lists this ribosomal RNA (251 nucleotides) under uncultured bacterium. RNAcentral's name for it is "partial 16S ribosomal RNA". It matches the Rfam family "Bacterial small subunit ribosomal RNA", at positions 525 to 775 of the family's 1533-position model. The record is from RNAcentral.